UAGAGUUUGAUCCUGGCUCAGGACGAACGCUGGCGGCGUGCCUAAUACAUGCAAGUCGAGCGAACUUUCAAGAAGCUUGCUUUUUGAAAGUUAGCGGCGGACGGGUGAGUAACACGUGGGCAACCUGCCUGCAAGACGGGGAUAACUCCGGGAAACCGGGGCUAAUACCGGAUAAUACCUUCCUUCGCAUGAAGGAAGGUUGAAAGGCGGCGCAAGCUGCCGCUUGCAGAUGGGCCCGCGGCGCAUUAGCUAGUUGGUGAGGUAACGGCUCACCAAGGCGACGAUGCGUAGCCGACCUGAGAGGGUGAUCGGCCACACUGGGACUGAGACACGGCCCAGACCCCUACGGGAGGCAGCAGUAGGGAAUCUUCCGCAAUGGACGAAAGUCUGACGGAGCAACGCCGCGUGAGCGAAGAAGGUCUUCGGAUCGUAAAGCUCUGUUGUCAGGGAAGAACAAGUACCGUUCGAACAGGGCGGUACCUUGACGGUACCUGACCAGAAAGCCACGGCUAACUACGUG
Molecule: ribosomal RNA, 520 nt
Filed under: uncultured Bacillus sp.
Lineage: Bacteria; Bacillati; Bacillota; Bacilli; Caryophanales; Bacillaceae
Description: bacterial SSU rRNA
Rfam family: Bacterial small subunit ribosomal RNA
Source: RNAcentral